RNAcentral lists this non-coding RNA (81 nucleotides) under uncultured Oribacterium sp. RNAcentral describes it as "Glycine riboswitch". It matches the Rfam family "Glycine riboswitch aptamer", at positions 8 to 87 of the family's 94-position model. Rfam says of the family: This family represents the bacterial glycine riboswitch. Glycine riboswitches usually consist of two metabolite-binding aptamers domains with similar structures in tandem. Lineage: Bacteria; Bacillati; Bacillota; Clostridia; Lachnospirales; Lachnospiraceae. The record is from RNAcentral.
GCUUUGGAGAAUUCCAUUCAGUUGGAUGCCGAAGGUGUAAGGUGCGUGUGCGCCGAAUCUCUCAGGCAAAAGAACGAAGCU